ACUAAUUUGGCAGAAAAAAUUGUAUCAAAUUUAGAAUUUGAGUAUGGGUAUUCCAAUUAGUA
Molecule: transfer RNA, 62 nt
Filed under: Ixodes nuttallianus
Lineage: Eukaryota; Metazoa; Arthropoda; Arachnida; Ixodida; Ixodidae
Description: tRNA-Leu
Source: RNAcentral